RNAcentral lists this ribosomal RNA (549 nucleotides) under uncultured Rhizophagus. RNAcentral's name for it is "SSU rRNA". It matches the Rfam family "Eukaryotic small subunit ribosomal RNA", at positions 553 to 1098 of the family's 1831-position model. Lineage: Eukaryota; Fungi; Glomeromycota; Glomeromycetes; Glomerales; Glomeraceae. The record is from RNAcentral.
GGGAAUUCCCAGUCUGGUGCCAGCAGCCGCGGUAAUUCCAGCUCUAAUAGCGUAUAUUAAAGUUGUUGCAGUUAAAAAGCUCGUAGUUGAAUUUCGGGGUCAGUAGGUUGGUCAUGCCACUGGUAUGUACUGGUCUCACUGAUUCCUCCUUCCUGAUGAACUGUAAUGCCAUUAAUUUGGUGUUGCAGGGAAUCUGGACUGUUACUUUGAAAAAAUUAGAGUGUUUAAAGCAGGCUAACGCCUGAAUACAUUAGCAUGGAAUAAUGAAAUAGGACGUUCGAUCCUAUUUUGUUGGUUUCUAGGAUUGACGUAAUGAUUAAUAGGGAUAGUUGGGGGCAUUAGUAUUCAAUUGUCAGAGGUGAAAUUCUUGGAUUUAUUGAAGACUAACUACUGCGAAAGCAUUUGCCAAGGAUGUUUUCAUUAAUCAAGAACGAAAGUUAGGGGAUCGAAGACGAUCAGAUACCGUCGUAGUCUUAACCAUAAACUAUGCCAACUAGGGAUCGGAUGAUGUUAAUUUUUUAAUGACUCAUUCGGCGCCUUACGGGAAAC